UGGUGCCGAUGCGCUUAGGGGAGACACCCGUUCCCAUCCCGAACACGAUGGUUAAGACUUAAGCGGCCGAUGGUACUAUGCUGGAAACGGCA
RNAcentral lists this ribosomal RNA (92 nucleotides) under Clostridium sp. C105KSO15. Lineage: Bacteria; Bacillati; Bacillota; Clostridia; Eubacteriales; Clostridiaceae. The record is from RNAcentral.